GGGAGGGCUCCCCGGUGAGUUAGACGGGUAUAGGAGGGCUCCCCGGUGAGUUAGACUGGUAUAGGAGGGCUCCCCGGUGAGUUAGACGGGUAUGGGAGGGCUCCCCGGUGAGUUAGACGGGUAUGGGAGGGCUCCCCGGUGAGUUAGACGGGUAUAGGAGGGCUCCCCGGUG
Oncorhynchus keta (chum salmon) is the source of this 172-nucleotide long non-coding RNA. RefSeq lists it as uncharacterized. The transcript has 3 exons. NCBI's taxonomy places the organism in Eukaryota, Metazoa, Chordata, Actinopteri, Salmoniformes, Salmonidae. The record is from RefSeq and is a predicted model, not a curated record.